UAAUCUUGAAUUACAGUGGCUACAGAGGAGAACUUUUAAUCUAGAUAAGUUUAUCCAUUUAUGAGGUGUCCUAGAGAAAAAGGGGCCUCAGCCAGGCACUCACUGUAAAGGGUGAGGGAAAUUUCUCUCUCCUUCUCUGCAGUGUCUGGUGACCAGGAAGACACCCCCUGGGACACCCAGCUCACCCCAGCGCCUGCAGACGGGAUCCUGGGAAAACUGGAGAAGCCGGUGAAGGACGCUUUUGCAAAAUUGAGACUCACAGAAAGGACCCUAUCGAGGACUCUUGACCACUGACACCGCUGCCAAAUUACAAGGUGUUGAACCUCGGGCAUUUCACAGCUGAAAAAGACUCUGCCGGGCAUCUGGGCCCCUGCAAACGCUGGAGACCUCAAAUCAAACCGACCGGGAAGAGGAGCAGCUGACAUCAAGAACUGGAACCUGAAACUGUCAACCGGGAGGCGCGUGAUCAGCACCAGGACAGUGAUCUGCCUGACCCCUGCAGUCCCCUACAGGAAAGUGACCUGGCCGUGACCAACCUUUCUGCCAAAUCAGGCCAGCUGACCUGUGCAUCGGCUGGAAGGACGGAGCUCACCUCCCACCGGAACCAGGUCAUUGCUCACAGAAGCAGCUGCAGAUCCAGGCCAGCUCAGCACGGGCCAGUGUGGAGGAGGAGGAGUCGUCCUGAUGGCGGCAAAGCCUGCUGACCAGCAAGUGGGCGUUGACUCUGCUGAGGUGAGGGA
Molecule: long non-coding RNA, 740 nt
Organism: Lagenorhynchus albirostris (white-beaked dolphin)
Lineage: Eukaryota; Metazoa; Chordata; Mammalia; Artiodactyla; Delphinidae
Exons: 3
Source: RefSeq, a predicted model, not a curated record